GUGAAUCAUCGAAUUUUUGAACGCAAAUUGCACUCUCUGGCAUUCCGGAGAGUAUGUCUGUUUGAGGGUUAGUAUAAUCAUAAUUGGAGCGAUGUUUUUUGGGUGACGCACCGGUGUUUGGGUCAUCGUAAAUCUUUUUUUUAAGAGACCUAAAAUUAACAUUCUUUUUUGCUCACUUUGAGACGUACAUAAUUUUUUUUUAUUCGUCUUGAUUGGUGGUAAAAAUUUUAUUAGAUCGUGAAUCUAGUAUAGUGGUAUCGCGUCUAUAAUUAUCAUGAUU
Molecule: unclassified non-coding RNA, 280 nt
Filed under: Rhizophagus clarus
Lineage: Eukaryota; Fungi; Glomeromycota; Glomeromycetes; Glomerales; Glomeraceae
Description: partial contains 5.8S ribosomal RNA and internal transcribed spacer 2
Rfam family: 5.8S ribosomal RNA (bases 1-71)
Source: RNAcentral